GAUGAAGAACGUAGCGAAAUGCGAUAAGUAAUGUGAAUUGCAGAAUUCAGUGAAUCAUCGAAUCUUUGAACGCACAUUGCGCCCCUUGGUAUUCCGAGGGGCAUGCCUGUUCGAGCGUCAUUAUAACCCCUCAAGCUCAGCUUGGUGUUGGGGCCUGCUGCACUGGCAGCCCUUAAAAUCAGUGGCGGCGCCAUCUGGCUCUAAGCGUAGUAAUUCUUCUCGCUAUGGAGUCCUGGUGGAUGCUUGCCAUCAACCCCCAAUUUUUCAAUGGUUGACCUCGGAUCAGGUAGGGAUACCCGCUGAACUUAAGCAUAUCAAUAAGCGGAGGA
RNAcentral lists this unclassified non-coding RNA (329 nucleotides) under soil metagenome. RNAcentral's name for it is "partial contains 5.8S ribosomal RNA, internal transcribed spacer 2, and large subunit ribosomal RNA". The stretch from base 1 to 120 matches the Rfam family "5.8S ribosomal RNA", at positions 35 to 154 of the family's 154-position model. The record is from RNAcentral.